GUCAUAGUGAUCCGGUGGUUCUGAAUGGAAGGGCCAUCGCUCAACGGAUAAAAGGUACUCCGGGGAUAACAGGCUGAUACCGCCCAAGAGUUCAUAUCGACGGCGGUGUUUGGCACCUCGAUGUCGGCUCAUCACAUCCUGGGGCUGAAGUAGGUCCCAAGGGUAUGGCUGUUCGCCAUUUAAAGUGGUACGCGAGCUGGGUUUAGAACGUCGUGAGACAGUUCGGUCCCUAUCUGCCGUGGGCGCUGGAGAACUGAGGGGGGCUGCUCCUAGUACGAGAGGACCGGAGUGGACGCAUCACUGGUGUUCGGGUUGUCAUGCCAAUGGCACUGCCCGGUAGCUAAAUGCGGAAGAGAUAAGUGCUGAAAGCAUCUAAGCACGAAACUUGCCCCGAGAUGAGUUCUCCCUGACUCCUUGAGAGUCCUGAAGGAACGUUGAAGACGACGACGUUGAUAGGCCGGGUGUGUAAGCGCAGCGAUGCGUUGAGCUAACCGGUACUAAUGAACCGUGAGG
This 513-nucleotide ribosomal RNA is filed under the name Escherichia coli. Its description in RNAcentral is "partial 23S ribosomal RNA". It matches the Rfam family "Bacterial large subunit ribosomal RNA", at positions 2409 to 2916 of the family's 2925-position model. The record is from RNAcentral. Lineage: Bacteria; Pseudomonadati; Pseudomonadota; Gammaproteobacteria; Enterobacterales; Enterobacteriaceae.